RNAcentral lists this ribosomal RNA (259 nucleotides) under uncultured bacterium. RNAcentral's name for it is "partial 16S ribosomal RNA". It matches the Rfam family "Bacterial small subunit ribosomal RNA", at positions 524 to 776 of the family's 1533-position model. The record is from RNAcentral.
UACGUAGGGUGCAAGCGUUGUCCGGAAUUAUUGGGCGUAAAGAGCUCGUAGGCGGUCUGUCGCGUCUGCUGUGAAAACUCGGGGCUUAACCCCGGGCCUGCAGUGGGUACGGGCAGACUAGAGUGGCGGUAGGGGAGACUGGAAUUCCGUGGUGUAGCGGUGAAAUGCGCAGAUAUCGAGGAGGAACACCUGGUGGCGAAAGCGGCUCACUGGACCAUAACUGACGCUGGAUGACACGAAAGCUAGGGGAGCAAACAGG